This 1039-nucleotide long non-coding RNA is filed under the name Callithrix jacchus (white-tufted-ear marmoset). RNAcentral describes it as "lncRNA (ENSCJAG00000077414.1)". The record is from RNAcentral. Lineage: Eukaryota; Metazoa; Chordata; Mammalia; Primates; Cebidae.
GCGUCUCCUCUGCCAAGACGUUCGGAAGGAAUAGUUGCUGUGGUGCUUUCCAGAGCCGUGCGUGAUCCUGGGAGUUACUAGCAACACUUAGAAACCAGUUUUGUUCAUUGCAGUGCAGUUGCCACCAAGGGCCUCCUCCUGCAGAGCCAGGCAGCGCCGAGUGGUUGUGGCAGGCCUCGCUAAGCCACGAUCCCUGGCAGGGAGGAGCUGCUGGCUGCACGGUCCCGGGUCAGAGAACCGAAGCAAGAGUCUUGUAAGACCAAAGGCUUCUUCGACUGCCCACACAUCUGCCAUUCACCUGGAGUUCAAAAGUGGGGGUGAUGGUCAAGGAGAUGGAUAUUGUGCCCUUAAUUUGAACUGAAAGAUGAAGACACCCUUUCCUUUUGGGGAAAAGGUGUCUGAUCGGCUUAUUGGAGCAACAAUGAGGGCUGGCUGGCUUUGCCAACUGCUUAUAUGGUGGAUAUUUCCCAUAAAUCAGAUGAAUUGAGUCUAUAGCUCCAAAGUUUUGUCAAAAAUAUGGCCGGGCAUGGUGCCUCAUGCCUGUAAUCUCAACACUUUGGGAGGCUGAGGUGGACGGAUCAACUGAAGUCAAGAGUUCAAGACCAGCCUGGCAUGAUGGCACAUGCCUAUAAUCCCAGCUACUCAGGAGGCUGAGGCAGGAGAAUCGCCUGAACCCAGGAGGAAGAGGUUACAGCGAGCCAAGAUUGCGCCACUGCACUCCAGCCUGGAGAGAAGAUCUCGCUAUGUUGCCUGGGCUGAUCUUGAACUCCUGGCCUCAAGCAAUCCACCAGGCCUAGCCACCAAAAAGGUUUAAGGCUUCUGUGAGUCCAGAAAAUGUGAAGAUCAUGAUUCCAAGGAUACGGCUUUAAAAGCAAGCCAGAGCAGGAGGAGGUAAUUUUCCCAGUCUCUGUAAUUUAGGACUGUAAUUUGCACUUGUUAGUUUUAAGGCACGUGGAAGUGAUGUUUGCUGUUGGUUGAGGGUCUGCCAAGAGGACAUCCCCUAAGUGCAGUUUAGAGGUCAAGGUCAGUCCUGUCUGGC